GGCUGGCGAUGUGCCUCAGUCGGAUUUGGAACGAGGAGAGCCAGUCCGCCAAUCGACUUGGGGCAUGGACUGACGCGAAUUGUGAUGGUGGCCCAAGCCCAGGCUGUUGACAUGCUCAUGAAGACGUCAUCAUCGCGAUUGUGGUAGGAAAUGCGCGUCGUUUCGUGUGCUUCGGCUCCUGCGUGCUCCGGGCGUCGACCUGUAGGCUCCCUAUUCGGCCCAUCUUGAAACACAUACCAAGAAGUCUGACAUGUGUGCGACCUAGAGGGCAAGUAAACCCGAGAAGCACAAUGAAGCUGAUUGGUGGGAUCCCCUUGUGGGUUGCACCACCGACCGACCCUGAUCUUCUUUGCAGGGUUUGAGUGAGAGCAUACCUAUCGGGACCCGAAAUAUGGUGAACUAUGCCUGAGCGGAGCGAGACCAGAGGAAACUCUGGUGGAGGCCAGCAACGAUACUGACGUGCCAAUCGUUCGUCUGACUUGGGUAUAGGGGCGAAAGACUAAUCGAACUGUCUAGUAGCUUGUUCCCUCCGAAGUUUCACUCAGGAUAGCUAGAGCCUGUAGGUGAGUUCUAUCGGGUAAAGCUAAUGAUUAGAGGCAUCGAGGGUGCAACGCCCUCGACCUAUUCUCAAACUUUAAAUAGGUAGGACGAUAUGGCUGCUUUGUUGAGCCACUCCAUGGAAUUGAGAGCUGCAAGUGGGCCUUUUUUGGUAAGCAGAACUGGCGUUGCGGGAUGAACCGGAAGUUGGGUUACGGUGCCCAACUGUGUGCUAACCUAGACCCCACAAAGGGUGUUGGUCGAUUAAGAUAGCAUGACGCUAGUCAUGGAAGUCAAAAUCCGAUAAGGAGUUUGUAACAACUUACCUGCCGAAUCAACUAGCCCCGAAAAUGGAAGGCGCUAAAGCGUGCGACCCAUACCCGGCCAUCGGGACAAGGGCCAUGCCCCAAUGAGUAGGAGGACGCGACGGUCGCUGCAAAACCUAUAGCGUGAGCCCGGACGGAAUGGUCGUCGGUGUAGAUCUUAGUGGUAGUAGCAAAUAUUCAAAUGAGAACAUUGAAGGCCGAAGAGGGGAAAGGUUCCAUGUGAAUGACACUUGCACAUGGGUUAGUCGAUCCUAAGGGAUGAGGAAAGCCCGUCUGAUAGUGCUCUAAGCGCGCACUCCGAAAGGGAAUUGGGUUAAAAUUCCUGAACCGGGAUGUGGCGGCUGACUACAACGUUAGGGAGUCCGGAGACGACGACGGGGGCCCGGAAAGAGUUAUCUUUUCUGUUUAAUAUCCUUCCCACCCUAGAAACAACUCAACCGGAGGUGGGGUCCAGCGGCUGGAAGAGCACCGCACGUCACGUGAUGUUUGCUGCGCCCCCGAUGGCCCUUGAAAAUCCAGAGGACCGAGUGCCUCCCACGCCCGGUCUUACUCAUAACUGCAUCAGGUCUCCAAGGUGAACAACCUCUAGUCGAUGGAACAAUGUAGGCAAGGGAAGUUUUCAAAAUGGAUCUGUAACCUUGAGAAAAGGAUUGGCUCUGAGGGAUGGGCAUGAAGGUCCCAGUCCCUAACCCGUCGGCUGUCGGUGGACUGCUCAAGAUGCUCUUAUGGCGAGAGUGGGUCGCUGCGUGCCGGUCGGGGGACGGAUUGGGAAUGGGCCCUUCGGGGCCUCUUCCCCAGACAUCAAACAGUCGACUCAAAACUGGUACAGACAAGGGGAAUCUGACUGUUUAAUAAAAACAAAGCAUUGCGAUGGUUCGUGACGAUGUGGAUGCAAUGUGAUUUCUGCCCAGUGCUCUAAAUGUCAAAGUGAAGAAAUUCAACUAAGCGUGGGUAAACGGCAGGAGUAACUAUGACUCUCUUAAAGUAGCCAAAUGACUCGUCAACUAAUUAGUGAUGCGCAUGAAUGGAGUAACGAUAUUCCCAUUGUCCCUAUCUACUAUCCAGCGAAACCGCAGCCAAGGGAACGGGCUUGGCGGAAUCAGCAGGGAAAGAAGACCCCGUUGAGCAUGACUCUAGUCCGACUUUGUGAAAUGACUUGAGAGGUGUAGGAGAAGUGGGAGUUGGAAACAGAGGAACUGAAAUACCACUACUUUUAACAUUAUUUUAGUUAUUCCGUGAAUCGGAGGCGUGGUGCAGCCCCUAUUUUUGGACCCAAGGUCGGCCUCAGUCGGUCGAUCCGGGCGGAAGACAUUGUCAGGUGGGGAGUUUGGCUGGGGCGGCACAUCUGUUAAUAGAUAACGCAUGUGUCCUAAGAUGGGCUCAACGAGAACAAAAAUCUUGUGUGGAACAAAAGGGUAAAAGCUCGUUUGAUUCUGAUUUCUAGUACGAAUACUGUUAGGUAUCAGUGACAGAAUACACCUAGAAGGGGGUGAAUAGGUGUCGCGGCUCCCACUUACCACUAUAUGCCCCAGAACCCUAUUCUGGAAAAUCAUCCAGUUAAUCGAUUAAAGCUAUGACUUAAUCGAUUAAGUCACAUAGAAUUAGCAAUUGCU
This 2476-nucleotide ribosomal RNA is filed under the name Lupinus angustifolius (narrow-leaved blue lupine). RNAcentral describes it as "eukaryotic LSU rRNA". It matches the Rfam family "Eukaryotic large subunit ribosomal RNA", at positions 428 to 2760 of the family's 3401-position model. The record is from RNAcentral. Lineage: Eukaryota; Viridiplantae; Streptophyta; Magnoliopsida; Fabales; Fabaceae.